GUCAAAAACAGAAAGGCUGACGGUGGAGACCUAGGCACAUAGAGACGAUGAAAGGCGCAGAUACCGGCGAUACGCUUCGGGGAGCUGGCAACAAGCUUUGAUCCGGAGAUUCCUGAAUAGGGCAACCUCUAGAACUUCUGAAUGAAUUCAUAGUUCAGAAAGAGACAACCUGGUGAAUUGAAACAUCUUAGUAACCAGUGGAAAAGAAAGCAAACGCGAUUCCCGUAGUAGCGGCGAGCGAACCGGGACCAGCCUAAACCCAUUUUCGGAUGGGGGUUGUGGGAAGACCAGAUACAAAGUUCAAUCAAACAGAUGAAGCAGCUGAAUCCUGCACCAUAGACGGUGAAAGUCCGGUAAUCGACCUUGAUUUUCCUUUGGGUUUAAUCCCGAGUAGCAUGGGGCACGUGGAAUCCCGUGUGAAUCUGCGAGGACCACCUCGUAAGGCUAAAUACUCCUAUGUGACCGAUAGUGAAGUAGUACAGUGAUGGAAAGGUGAAAAGAACCCCCGUAGGGGAGUGAAAUAGAACAUGAAACCGUCAGCUGACAAGCAGUGGGAGGAGAUUGACUCUGACCUCAUGCCUGUUGAAGAAUGAGCCGGCGACUUAUAGGAUGUGGCAGGUUAAGGAGUUAGAUCCGGAGCCCAAGCGAAAGCGAGUCUGAAUAGGGCGUAACGUCACAUCUUAUGGACCCGAACCCGGGUGAUCUAAUCAUGGCCAGAGUGAAACUUGGGUAACACUAAGUGGAGGUUCGAACCGCCCGAUGUUGAAAAAUCGACGGAUGAGCUGUGAUUAGGGGUGAAAUUCCAAUCGAACCCGGAGCUAGCUGGUUCUCUCCGAAAUGCGUUGAGGCGCAGCGGCCACGAUGAGCUAUCUAGGGGUAAAGCUACUGUUUCGAUACGGGCUGCGAAAGCGGUACCAAGUCGUGGCAAACUCAGAAUACUAGAUAUAGCCUUCCGUAAGCCAGUGAGACUAUGGGGGAUAAGCUUCAUUAGUCAAGAGGGAAACAGCCCAGAUCACCAGUUAAGGCCCCUAAAUGAUCGCUAAGUGGAAAAGGAUGUGAGAAUGCUGAAACAACCAGGAGGUUUGCUUAGAAGCAGCAGCCCUUUAAAGAGUGCGUAAUAGCUCACUGGUAAAGCGUUCUUGCGCCGACAAUGGCCGGGACUAAGCGAUCUGCCGAAGCUGUGGGAUGGAUUUUGACAAUCCAUCGGUAGGAGAGCGUUCUGUCAUGGGUGAAGUGGUUGCGUAAGCGGCUAUGGACAGGACAGAAGUGAGAAUGUUGGCUUGAGUAACGAAAACACUGGUGAGAAUCCAGUGCCCCGAAAACCUAAGGGUUCCUCCACUAGGUUCGUCCAUGGGGGGUGAGUCAGGACCUAAGGCGAGGUCGAACGGCGUAGUCGAUGGCAAACAGGUUAAUAUUCCUGUACUGAUCUAUAUGGAUCUCGAGGGACGGAGAAGGCUAAAUUCGGUCUGUGUAUGGAAUGCAGUGGAAGCGUCCAAGGUGUUGAGAGGGAGAAGAAAAACUCACCUUGAGCUGAGGCGUGAUCCCGUUCGCUGGAACUUGUUCCGGUUGGACGCGAAUGAUGUCAUGCUCCCAAGAAAAGCUCGUCAAUCAUUAACAUAUAGAUUACCUGUACCUGAAACCGACACAGGUAGGUUAGUAGAGCAUACUAAGGGGCGCGAGAGAACUCUCUCUAAGGAACUCGGCAAACUGGCCCCGUAACUUCGGAAGAAGGGGCGCCAUCUUCACAGAUGGUCGCAGUGACCAGGCCCAGGCGACUGUUUACCAAAAACACAGGUCUCCGCAAAGUCGUAAGACAAUAUAUGGGGGCUGACGCCUGCCCAGUGCCGGAAGGUGAAGGAAGUUGGUUAUCGAGUCUCUCGAGAAGCUGGCGACCGAAGCCCCGGUGAACGGCGGCUGUAACUAUGACAGUCCUAAGGUAGCGAAAUUCAUUGUCGAGUAAGUUUCGACCUGCACGAAAGGCGUAACGAUCUGGGCGCUGUCUCAGAGAGAGGCUCGGUGAAAUAGACAUGUCCGUGAAGAUGCGGACUACUAAUACUUGGACAGAAAGACCCUAUGAAGCUUGACUGGACUCUGGAAUUGAGUUCGGGCUUUUCUUGCGCAGUCUAGGUGGGAGGCGUUGAAGAUUUCCUUCCGGGGAAGUUGGAGCCAUCAGUGAGAGACCACUCUGGGAAGGCUAGAAUUCUAAUGGUGUUCCUUAUAUCAGGACACUUGACAGUUUCAGAUUGACAGUUUAUCUGGGGCGGAUGCCUCAUAAAAAGUAACUGAGGCGUGCAAAGGUUCCCUCAGUCUGGACGGAAAUCAGACAUUGAGUGUAAAGGCAAAAGGGAGCUUGACUGCAAGACCUACAAGUCGAGCAGGAACGAAAGUUGGCCUUAGUGAUCCGACGAUGCCGUGUGGAAGGGUCGUCGCUCAACGGAUAAAAGUUACUCUAGGGAUAACAGGCUAAUCUUCUCCAAGAGUUCACAUCGACGAGAAGGUUUGGCACCUCGAUGUCGGCUCAUCACAUCCUUCGGCUGCAGUAGGUCGAAAGGGUUGGGCUGUUCGCCCAUUAAAGUGGUACGUGAGCUGGGUUCAGAACGUCGUGAGACAGUUCGGUCCAUAUCCGGUAUUAGCGCAAGAGUAUUGAGGGGAGCCUUCCAUAGUACGAGAGGACCUGUGAAGGACAUGCCUAUGGUGUACCAGUUAUUCUUCCAAGGGUAAACGCUGGGUAGCUACGCAUGGAGUGGAUAAGUGCUGAAAGCAUCUAAGUACGAAGCCCACCCCAAGAUGAGUACUCUCCAUUAGAUCGCGGGAAGACCACCCGUUGAUAGGUAUCAAGUGUAAGGUCUGUAAGGAUUUCAGCUGAGAUAUACUAAAGAUCGAGUGAUUUUGAC
RNAcentral lists this ribosomal RNA (2894 nucleotides) under Mychonastes homosphaera. RNAcentral's name for it is "large subunit ribosomal RNA". It matches the Rfam family "Bacterial large subunit ribosomal RNA". Lineage: Eukaryota; Viridiplantae; Chlorophyta; Chlorophyceae; Sphaeropleales; Mychonastaceae. The record is from RNAcentral.